CACUGGCUGUCAGACUGAUUUAGCUGCAUGAAUGUACUUGUCCAGGCUGAUGUGAAACCUUCCCUGUAGCAAAGCCAUCCAGUUUAGAGCUCACAGCCGCAGUGUGUCUGGUGACCCACAGGGACCAUGAUGAAAAUUCAUCUUCCAGAAGGUCCCAGAGCGUCCAGACCCCCUGAAAAGACCAAGAUGUGAGGUGUCUGCUGUUGAUUCCAGCUUCCACCUCAGUGACAGUGCAAGCUCAGUGAACUGUUCAAGCCUGGCUGAUCACCUGAUAACCCCUGUCAUCUGGUUAUGACAGCAUGAGGAUGUCCUCACACACCUGUAACCUAUCAGCUCAUCCUGCUGAAUAGAGAGAGAAGAGACCACACCACAUCUCCUGUUCCUGGAAAGCCUUCAGCCAUCCUUCGAUGACUGAGAACCUCCAUCAGCUCUGUCUCCUGUCUGCCUACAAUUAUAAUAAAUAUUGUGUUUGACAAGUUUUUUGUGCUGCCAAAUAUCUCAUUUAGAUUCGUUUUGAUAUUUUAAUGGAUAUUUAUAAAUUACAUUGAAUAUCACAUUUUUGUUGCAUGUUUAACUAGCUCUAUUGUGAUUAAUUAAGCUAGCACCUCACUGUUAAAAGCUCGUUCUAAUUUCAAGCAUGUUUAAGUAUUUAUGGACAUGAACAAAAACAGGAAAUAUAUAAAUUGAGAUUUAUUUAAUUAAUAUAACAAAUAAGGGGGAAAGAGUCAUUGAAAGGCACGUUCUUCUGAAAGUUCCUGAUCCUGAUGACACCAGCAGAGGAGACCAGCUGCAGACACCAGAGACCAGCUGCAGACACCAGAGGACCUAGAACCAAGAGAGCAGCUGUUAUCAGUAAAUAAAUAAAGAAAUCAGGGCAGUUUUAGUGGGCUGAACACAUUACAGAAUAAUUUUCUCAUGGGGUAUUUUCAUAACUUUAUAUGCAGCAGACUGUAACUUGAGCCCAGAGCUACCGGAGAGCUGCUAUCCAGCACGUUUCAGUGGUUUUCCUGCUUUAACAGGUUAGAUUAACUGUUAAGCAGCUCAGCUAUUUGUUGCUGAUUAAAACCAGGUGUGCUGAAGCAGAUAAACCUCUAAAACAUGCUGAAUACUAGCUUUUUAGGGCCGUGGAGACAAACCCUGCAGCUAAUCCAAUGCUAUGGCUAACGGCUACUUACCUUUCAGAGGUGAUUCUGUUGGGUCGGUUCUGGGAGUUUCAGGCAACUCACAAGCUCAAAACAAUAAGACUCAGGUCCGCUUGUCUCCUCCAAAUAGACUUGGUCCCUUUCUUCUCGAGUGUCUGUGUAAGGAGGGGGAGAAACGUCCUCCACUUCUAAUAACUGCUCAGAGUGAAGGGAGCUAGCUUCGUCUAGUUAGCCAUCGUCUUCGUCACUGCCGCGGCUCCGCCCUCUCGGUCCUCCAGGCAACGCCUACUAAUGUUGCUUUUUUUAAAAUUGAUAC
This is a non-coding RNA of Nothobranchius furzeri (turquoise killifish), 1458 nucleotides long. The record is from RefSeq and is a predicted model, not a curated record. Lineage: Eukaryota; Metazoa; Chordata; Actinopteri; Cyprinodontiformes; Nothobranchiidae.